Molecule: non-coding RNA, 133 nt
Filed under: Amborella trichopoda
Lineage: Eukaryota; Viridiplantae; Streptophyta; Magnoliopsida; Amborellales; Amborellaceae
Source: RNAcentral
GUGUUCUUUAAUAGGAGAGACGGUUGACAUCUCCCCUGAUGAGGACGGGAACAGACUUCGGUGUUUCUUGUUACCAAAAGUAUGCGGUUAAGGAUGCCCACCUCAUAUGAGGUGGAUUUUACCCAUAUUUUUU